UUCCGGACGAAUGUGAUUUCCGGUAAAUACUGCCCGGUGCCUUGCGGGGUUAACGGCGGCUGUAAAUGGUCUGAAGGUAGCGAAAUUCAUUGUCUCUUAAUUGGAGUCCUGCAUGAAGUAACAACGAGGGGGAGACUGUCUCUUCAGGGUUAUCGUUGAAAGAGACCUGUAGGUGAAAAUGCCUACAUAUACUUAAAAGGCGAUGAGACCCCGAGCAACUUUAUCUGUUGGGUGGAGCUCGUCCACCUCCCGGGUUUGGCUGGGGUAGCAGGGGGAUAAGCAAAACUCCCACCAGUGAUCUAAGCUGACGGGCUAAGACCUGGUUAAAUUAGCAAAAAGCGGGUAAGUUACGCCGGGGAUAACAGCGCGUUUCCCCAACAGAGGCCAUAUCGGUUGGGGUUCGGGCGACCUCGAUGUUGAAUCAAGGGGAGUCGGUGGUGGCGCAGCAGCUCGCCGGCGGGUCUGUUCGACCUUUAGAGCCUU
This 483-nucleotide ribosomal RNA is filed under the name Malleus regula. Its description in RNAcentral is "partial 16S ribosomal RNA". It matches the Rfam family "Bacterial large subunit ribosomal RNA", at positions 1829 to 2597 of the family's 2925-position model. The record is from RNAcentral. Lineage: Eukaryota; Metazoa; Mollusca; Bivalvia; Pterioida; Malleidae.